CUCUGACGAAUCAUUUUCCAAGUCAAUUUUUGUAUCUAGCUCAAGAACUUGAAUUUUUUCUUCUAGGCCUACCACACUUUCGGUCUCGACCGAAAAAAUAGGUGGCUUUUGUUCUUCGGCCAAAUUAACAAUUUUCUUAGACCGAUGUCUGAUUACGGCCGAAGCGAAAAAUUGCCCCCCGGCCUUUGGGCCUAACCAUUUUUCAAAUGGAAUUGAUCUGUAGUCGGAAACGUAAGGAAAAUUUUCUUCAUCUAGCCAGACAUUAAAUC
Molecule: long non-coding RNA, 269 nt
Filed under: Malus domestica (apple)
Lineage: Eukaryota; Viridiplantae; Streptophyta; Magnoliopsida; Rosales; Rosaceae
Description: long non-coding RNA (MDOM_LNC017581)
Source: RNAcentral